AGAUUUGAUCAUGGCUCAGAUUGAACGCUGGCGGCAUGCCUUACACAUGCAAGUCGAACGGCAGCACGGGGGCAACCCUGGUGGCGAGUGGCGAACGGGUGAGUAAUACAUCGGAACGUGUCCAGUAGUGGGGGAUAGCCCGGCGAAAGCCGGAUUAAUACCGCAUACGAUCUUAGGAUGAAAGCGGGGGAUCUUCGGAC
RNAcentral lists this ribosomal RNA (200 nucleotides) under uncultured bacterium. RNAcentral describes it as "partial 16S ribosomal RNA". It matches the Rfam family "Bacterial small subunit ribosomal RNA", at positions 9 to 214 of the family's 1533-position model. The record is from RNAcentral.